Molecule: long non-coding RNA, 954 nt
Filed under: Homo sapiens (human)
Lineage: Eukaryota; Metazoa; Chordata; Mammalia; Primates; Hominidae
Description: non-protein coding lnc-TSTD2-2:4
Source: RNAcentral
GGAUGGAUAGAGAGCAUGUCUUUAAAGCGCACCUCACCACACAGGCUCCCGGCACCCCUGGUUGGGAUAAUGCCCCCCUCUGCUCCCACACCUCUGUAGGAAGCUCUAAAGAAGCAGCGCUGCCCCUGCCUAGCGGAGGAGACUGGGACUCCCCACAUCUCUCUGUGUUCCCAGAUUGAGCCGGGCAAGAUCACAUCUGACAUCUGCACAUCUCAGCGCCCAGCCCCUGCCUGGCUCAGAGUGAAGUGUCUUCCAAUCCAUUGAAAUUUCUAGUCCCGGGGUCUCGAGGACACUAGGGCCACUGUGCAAUGGCAGAAGGAGCAUUGCCAUAGAAGUCAGGGGGCCUGGUUACAAGUCCUGACUUUAGUUGAGGACCUGCCAUAUGACCUUGAGCAAACUGCUGUACUUCUCUGGAUCUCAGUUUCUACAACCUAAUUCACUGGGCCCAGCCUGCAGCCUGCAAGCACCGGAUGAGUGGACGUGGCUGAGCAGCCAUGAGAAAGAUGUGGGGCUCUCCGGUGACUGUAGACCCAGCAUAAAUCAACAGUUCAAGGUGCUCAUCCCCAAAGCCAUGGUGAGACCUUAGCUGCUGUAAUAAAAGUGUAGUGCCAAAGUAAGGGCAAUGACAGUCUUGCUUGGUUUUAUGCUGGAGCUCAACUCUGGGCCACACUCUUUUGUGGGGGGUGGGUGGUAAUUAUCUUUUUUAAACAAGACACUGGCUAUAUACAGUCAAGUGUGCAAGGCUUAAGUAUACAACUCAUGUAAUUUUCCCACAUUUAUAUACCUAUGUAGACAUUCAAAUGAAGAUACUAAACAUUUCCAGCCCCCAAGAAAACUUCCUUAAAUUCCCUCCUGGUCAAUCUCCCUCAAAAGUAACUAUUUAUAAUAUAUAUAAAAUAAUAUAUUUAUAGUACUAUUCUGACCUUUAAGACUGUAGAUUAGUUUUGGCUUUUU